RNAcentral lists this ribosomal RNA (472 nucleotides) under uncultured bacterium. RNAcentral's name for it is "bacterial SSU rRNA". It matches the Rfam family "Bacterial small subunit ribosomal RNA", at positions 355 to 825 of the family's 1533-position model. The record is from RNAcentral.
UGGGGAAUAUUGGACAAUGGGCGAAAGCCUGAUCCAGCCAUGCCGCGUGUGUGAAGAAGGUCUUCGGAUUGUAAAGCACUUUAAGUUGGGAGGAAGGGCAGUUACCUAAUACGUGAUUGUUUUGACGUUACCGACAGAAUAAGCACCGGCUAACUCUGUGCCAGCAGCCGCGGUAAUACAGAGGGUGCAAGCGUUAAUCGGAAUUACUGGGCGUAAAGCGCGCGUAGGUGGUUAGUUAAGUUGGAUGUGAAAUCCCCGGGCUCAACCUGGGAACUGCAUUCAAAACUGACUGACUAGAGUAUGGUAGAGGGUGGUGGAAUUUCCUGUGUAGCGGUGAAAUGCGUAGAUAUAGGAAGGAACACCAGUGGCGAAGGCGACCACCUGGACUGAUACUGACACUGAGGUGCGAAAGCGUGGGGAGCAAACAGGAUUAGAUACCCCCGUAGUCCCUGAGCGGGCUGGCAAGGCGCAU